Long non-coding RNA from Balaenoptera ricei (Rice's whale), 1573 nucleotides. RefSeq lists it as uncharacterized. The transcript is spliced from 3 exons. NCBI's taxonomy places the organism in Eukaryota, Metazoa, Chordata, Mammalia, Artiodactyla, Balaenopteridae. The record is from RefSeq and is a predicted model, not a curated record.
UGUCAGGCGGCUGACCGAAGGGUGUGGUCGGAACUACAUAAGGUGGGAGGGAAAAACGGGAGGCAGAAUGUAAAGCUGCCUAAAGCGUCUCCCUCGCCUUCCCUCCCUUCUGAAGAAGACCUGCUGGGUGUUCCCUCACCUCUGAGGAAUCCUCAUAGUGUUAUUUGCUAAGAACGUGUUCCAGAGAACGUGAAGAUGUUGAGACUGAACUGAGGAAAGGUUCCAAGAUCUUCACAACCUGUCAGAUGACAGUCUUUGCUCCUGCUACUCUCCAGAGCUCUCUCCACCCCACUCAAAUCGGGAUAGACGGCGGUCCUGGAAUUUAUUUUGUACUUCCCCUGUCUGUCUGGAACACCCUGCCUGUCAAAAUCCUGUCCAGCUUGUCAGGCCCGACUGCAGCCUUCCUGCAUGAUCCCUUCCCUGACUCUCCACUCAGAAGCGUACAUACAACUUUGCAUGAGAGUUCUUUUCUCACAUGGGUGUUUAUAGUCAGGGUUAUUCUACACACCGUCCCUGAAUGAUGUCCAUACCCCUGUGAGAGGGGGAAUGUAGGGCAGAAAGGCUAAUUCAGCUGCCUGUUCACUCAGAUGGAAGGAAUAUUUAAGGCAGUCAGAAGGAAGCACUGAGGGAAUGGCUAGAGAGGUGCACUCCCUUGGAGACUGUCCACUCUUUUUUAAUCCCUUAACAACAACAAAAAAAACUUGAUUGCGCUCCAAGGGGAAAAAAAAUUCAACUUUAUUGACUGAAAAAUAUCAAUGAAGAAAACUGACCUGCAUUUCAUCACUAAAAUGGUAUAUAUUUCAAAAAUAGCAAUAUGAAGGCAAAUUUCUGUAUUUUCACCUUAAGUUAUGUUGACAUUUGGCAGCCUCAUGAGAACUAUGGGCCAGAGAUCUGUAAACCCCAAAACUAGAGUCUGAAGAUGAACCUGCCUGAGACUCUUGCCCUAAGAAGCUCUAGAAAUGAGAACAUCAAGGCUCUCCUCUGGCCUGCAGACAACCUGGGACCUUGUUGGAGCUGAGAUCCUUCUAUGUUCACACAGCAGAUUCCCUGAGUCCUAGGACUCUGUUACUUGUCUUACCUCAUCACCCAGCCUUCCUUGGGGGUAAGAACUGUGCCUUACACUCUUCACCCUCUUCUGGUGAGGGCCCAGCACAGUGCCUUUUGCGUAGUGGAUCAUCGAGAAAUUCCUGUUUGUGACAAUGGUGAUGAAGAAAUAGUUGGAGAGAAAGUGACUUCACCCAUGUGUGUUGAAUUUUAUUUUCUUUAAAACAGCACACCCGGGCUUCCCUGGUGGCGCAGUGGUUGAGAGUCUGCCUGCUAAUGCAGGGGACACGGGUUCGAGCCCUGGUCUGGGAGGAUCCCACAUGCCGCGGAGCGGCUGGGCCCGUGAGCCACAAUUACUGAGCCUGCGCGUCUGGAGCUUGUGCUCCGCAACAAGAGAGGCCACGAUAGUGAGAGGCCCGCGCACCGCGAUGGAGAGUGGCCCCCGCUUGCCGCAACUGGAGAGGGCCCUCGCACAGAAACGAAGACCCAACACAGCCAAAAAUAAAUAAAUAAAUAAAUUUAUUAAAAA